RNAcentral lists this ribosomal RNA (375 nucleotides) under bacterium Fuku2-ISO-48. Its description in RNAcentral is "bacterial SSU rRNA". It matches the Rfam family "Bacterial small subunit ribosomal RNA", at positions 446 to 818 of the family's 1533-position model. The record is from RNAcentral.
CGGGUGAGGCUAAUAUCCUUGCCUAAUGACGGUACCUGAAGAAUAAGCACCGGCUAACUACGUGCCAGCAGCCGCGGUAAUACGUAGGGUGCAAGCGUUAAUCGGAAUUACUGGGCGUAAAGCGUGCGCAGGCGGUUGUGCAAGACAGAUGUGAAAUCCCCGGGCUCAACCUGGGAAUUGCAUUUGUGACUGCACGGCUAGAGUGUGUCAGAGGGGGGUAGAAUUCCACGUGUAGCAGUGAAAUGCGUAGAUAUGUGGAGGAAUACCGAUGGCGAAGGCAGCCCCCUGGGAUAACACUGACGCUCAUGCACGAAAGCGUGGGGAGCAAACAGGAUUAGAUACCCUGGUAGUCCACGCCCUAAACGAUGUCUACUA